RNAcentral lists this ribosomal RNA (735 nucleotides) under Achromobacter sp. JDM303. RNAcentral's name for it is "bacterial SSU rRNA". It matches the Rfam family "Bacterial small subunit ribosomal RNA", at positions 48 to 779 of the family's 1533-position model. The record is from RNAcentral. Lineage: Bacteria; Pseudomonadati; Pseudomonadota; Betaproteobacteria; Burkholderiales; Alcaligenaceae.
CUUACACAUGCAGUCGAACGGCAGCACGGACUUCGGUCUGGUGGCGAGUGGCGAACGGGUGAGUAAUGUAUCGGAACGUGCCCAGUAGCGGGGGAUAACUACGCGAAAGCGUAGCUAAUACCGCAUACGCCCUACGGGGGAAAGCAGGGGAUCGCAAGACCUUGCACUAUUGGAGCGGCCGAUAUCGGAUUAGCUAGUUGGUGGGGUAACGGCUCACCAAGGCGACGAUCCGUAGCUGGUUUGAGAGGACGACCAGCCACACUGGGACUGAGACACGGCCCAGACUCCUACGGGAGGCAGCAGUGGGGAAUUUUGGACAAUGGGGGAAACCCUGAUCCAGCCAUCCCGCGUGUGCGAUGAAGGCCUUCGGGUUGUAAAGCACUUUUGGCAGGAAAGAAACGUCGUGGGUUAAUACCCCGCGAAACUGACGGUACCUGCAGAAUAAGCACCGGCUAACUACGUGCCAGCAGCCGCGGUAAUACGUAGGGUGCAAGCGUUAAUCGGAAUUACUGGGCGUAAAGCGUGCGCAGGCGGUUCGGAAAGAAAGAUGUGAAAUCCCAGAGCUUAACUUUGGAACUGCAUUUUUAACUACCGAGCUAGAGUGUGUCAGAGGGAGGUGGAAUUCCGCGUGUAGCAGUGAAAUGCGUAGAUAUGCGGAGGAACACCGAUGGCGAAGGCAGCCUCCUGGGAUAACACUGACGCUCAUGCACGAAAGCGUGGGGAGCAAACAGGAUU